GACGAACGCUGGCGGCGCGCCUAACACAUGCAAGUCGAACGGAGUCAAGAGGAGCUUGCUUUUCUUGACUUAGUGGCGAACGGGUGAGUAACGCGGGAGUAACCUGCCCUGGAGUGGGGGACAACAGUUGGAAACGACUGCUAAUACCGCAUAAGCCCACGGCUCCGCAUGGAUCUGCGGGAAAAGGAUUUAUUCGCUUCAGGAUGGACUCGCGUCCAAUUAGCUAGUUGGUGAGGUAACGGCCCACCAAGGCGACGAUUGGUAGCCGGACUGAGAGGUUGAACGGCCACAUUGGGACUGAGACACGGCCCAGACUCCUACGGGAGGCAGCAGUGGGGGAUAUUGCACAAUGGGGGAAACCCUGAUGCAGCGACGCCGCGUGGAGGAAGAAGGUUUUCGGAUUGUAAACUCCUGUCGUUAGGGACGAUAAUGACGGUACCUAACAAGAAAGCACCGGCUAACUACGUG
This 468-nucleotide ribosomal RNA is filed under the name uncultured bacterium. RNAcentral describes it as "partial 16S ribosomal RNA". It matches the Rfam family "Bacterial small subunit ribosomal RNA", at positions 28 to 507 of the family's 1533-position model. The record is from RNAcentral.